AUGCUAUAGGUUACAUUAAUUUUUCUCAUUUAUUUUCUCAAAUAUAUUUAUUGAGUACCAACCAUGUGACAGAAACUAUUUGAGGGACAUGUAGAUAAUCACUCACCUGAAACUAUAGCACAUGAUCACAUGAAUGCACCUUUCAUGUGUGAGAAAGCUUCAAGUAUUUGAUCACCUUAGUGGAAAUUCUCUGGAAAGAUGACUGACUAGAUUCACAGCUGAACAAAGAGCAUUAUCACUCUGACGUAAAAAUAGCCACACCGCCAUCUUCAGUAUGCACAUGUUAAGCAUCAGUGAACACAUUUGUAGGUCUGUGAAGUUUUGGCGGAAGGAACUUAUCCCAACAGAACCUGUCUGGGUUACGGAAUCUUACUUGCUCAUAUUCUGGGGGGUGUGUAUGUGUGUAGGUGUACACAUGCACUCUGAUUUAUGUUGGGUUCUAACUGAACAUAUCUAUUUAAAUUAAAGCUCCAGAACUUAUGUUUAGGCAAGAAUGUCAGGUUUGAUCCUGUUUCUCCAAACUCCAUUGGCUUUUCAUAAAGCUCCUUUCAAAGACAUAAGAAAGGGCAAACAAAAGACUGAAGCACUAUUUAACACCACAUUUCUUUAACUAUGUAAAAAUAUCUGUAAAAUAUCUAGGGAGAGAUGGUAGAAAAACAAAUGUUCCAUAUUGGAACUUUUAUCUAUGGUAGGAGGAGAGUCAAUAAUUAUUUUUCUUCACCUGUUAAGGGCAACAGUGCCUCAAGGUUACUAUGAAUUGCCCUGAAACUUUUCUUACUCAUUAGAAAACUCUUAUGGUUACUUUUCCAGCAGUAUAGUUCUGGUCUAAUAUAUUGAUGAUGCACACUGUGCUCUGACAUCUAAGAGAUAUCUGCCAUAAACUCUGUAGUCC
Molecule: long non-coding RNA, 892 nt
Filed under: Marmota monax (woodchuck)
Lineage: Eukaryota; Metazoa; Chordata; Mammalia; Rodentia; Sciuridae
Source: RNAcentral